CACGUAGGGGGCGAGCGUUGUCCGGAUGUAUUGGGCGUAAAGAGCUCGUAGGCGGCUCAGUAAGUCAGGUGUGAAAACUCCAGGCUCAACCUGGAGACGCCACUUGAUACUGCUGUGGCUAGAGUCCGGUAGGGGAGCAUGGAAUUCCUGGUGUAGCGGUGAAAUGCGCAGAUAUCAGGAGGAACACCAGUGGCGAAGGCGGUGCUCUGGGCCGGAACUGACGCUGAGGAGCGAAAGCGUGGGGAGCAAACAGG
Molecule: ribosomal RNA, 254 nt
Filed under: uncultured bacterium
Lineage: Bacteria
Description: partial 16S ribosomal RNA
Rfam family: Bacterial small subunit ribosomal RNA
Source: RNAcentral